UACGUAGGGUGCGAGCGUUAAUCGGAAUUACUGGGCGUAAAGGGUGCGCAGGCGGCUCCGCAUGUCGGGCGUGAAAUCCCCGGGCUUAACCUGGGAAUGGCGUCCGAAACUAUGGAGCUGGAGUGUGGCAGAGGGAGGUGGAAUUCCACGUGUAGCGGUGAAAUGCGUAGAGAUGUGGAGGAACACCGAUGGCGAAGGCAGCCUCCUGGGCCAACACUGACGCUCAUGCACGAAAGCGUGGGGAGCAAACAGG
This 253-nucleotide ribosomal RNA is filed under the name uncultured bacterium. RNAcentral describes it as "partial 16S ribosomal RNA". It matches the Rfam family "Bacterial small subunit ribosomal RNA", at positions 524 to 776 of the family's 1533-position model. The record is from RNAcentral.